GUGCGGUCUGAAAUAAUGUUAUGUCUAGUUUCUCCUCUUUAUAAUACUCUAGGCCUAAGUUCGAUCACAGGCUCUGGACAAUACUGUAACUGUAUAUAACAUUUUUAGGUUGUCACGUGCUUGUACGGUACGAAUCACGCAGCAAAGAAACCAGCAUUGUAUUCUACCUAAUAAGUCUUAAUAGCGCGCUUACUUUUAGUUACAAAUAUAAUGUAACAUUGGCACAAUCUGGAUUUGAAGUGACGACCCUCAAGAUUGAAUUAAAAGCUUCCUGGUAUAACUACAGUUAGUAAAAUAGUGUAAGUUUUUUUAAAAUUGAUGUAUUAGUUUCAG
Long non-coding RNA from Pieris brassicae (large cabbage white), 333 nucleotides. RefSeq lists it as uncharacterized. Lineage: Eukaryota; Metazoa; Arthropoda; Insecta; Lepidoptera; Pieridae. The record is from RefSeq and is a predicted model, not a curated record. The transcript has 2 exons.